UAGUCAUAUGCUUGUCUUAAAGACUAAGCCAUGCAUGUCUAAGUAUAAGUAUUAUACAGCGAAACUGCGAAUGGCUCAUUAAAACAGUUAUAGUUUAUUCGAUUAUUUUCUUCUACAUGGAUAACCGUAGUAAUUCUAGAGCUAAUACAUGCUGUCAAACCUGACUUUUUGGAAAGGUUGUAUUUAUUAGAUAUUAAACCAAUACCUUCGGGUUUUGUGAUGAUUCAUAAUAACUGAGCGGAUCGCGGCCUUGCCGCGACGAAUCGUUCAAGUUU
Molecule: ribosomal RNA, 275 nt
Filed under: uncultured eukaryote
Lineage: Eukaryota
Description: partial 18S ribosomal RNA
Rfam family: Eukaryotic small subunit ribosomal RNA
Source: RNAcentral